UACGUAGGGGGCAAGCGUUGUCCGGAAUCAUUGGGCGUAAAGCGCGCGUAGGCGGUCCGAUAAGUCGGCUGUGAAAGUCAGGGGCUCAACCCUUGAAAGCCGGCCGAUACUGUCGGACUAGAGUCCGGAAGAGGCAAGUGGAAUUCCCGGUGUAGCGGUGAAAUGCGCAGAUAUCGGGAGGAACACCAAUGGCGAAGGCAGCUUGCUGGGACGGUACUGACGCUGAGGCGCGAAAAGCGUGGGGGAGCAAACAGG
Molecule: ribosomal RNA, 255 nt
Filed under: uncultured bacterium
Lineage: Bacteria
Description: partial 16S ribosomal RNA
Rfam family: Bacterial small subunit ribosomal RNA
Source: RNAcentral